GCAAAAGAUGUAUUUUAUAUCUAAUUAAUAAUUUAUUAAAAAAAAUAAAAUUUUGACUGAAAUUUUGGAGCCAAAAAGGCUGAAAAUUUCAGACCAAUAUACCCAAAAUCUCAUUUGUCUCUGUCCAAUAUACCCAAUAUACCAAUAUACCCUAAAUUUCAGACCAAACUCUCUGUCCGACGAGCUCCUCACCACGACGUCAAGGACCAGCGGCCUCCGCUUCUCCCGGUUCUCCUGCGUCUCUUCCUCCACCAGCUUCAACGACGGACGAAUGGUAUACUACAACUUUGGUUUUGAUUGAUCUUUGGUGUUCGAAGAACGCAAAGCAACUUUAUUGGAUUAGUUAGAAACUUCAGAAUGGAUAGAGAUUGGAUGAGUGCAGAUAGGUUGUCAAUAAAAUAUAGGGAAGGUGUUGAUCUGUUUUUGGAGUUUGCUGAGAAGAAGGCUUCCAAUCCUAAUUUUGUUCAUUGUCCAGAGCAACCAGAUGACAAUCAGUGUGGGUAUUAUAGCAUGAGAUUUAUUAAAUCAUUCAUGACUGAAAAUAAUCCUACACGAAAAUCGGAAACAGAGUUUAAAAGGAACAAAUCAUCCUCUUACACUAACAAAGAAAUCAAUGAAAUACGUGACGAAUGGGCAAAGUAUGUCAUGCAGAUGAUAGCAACAGGCAAAUGACUAAUAACAUAGAGUAUGAUGACCAAUGAUUGAUAGGUUUGACAUCGAUCUUAGUUACUAUUGUCUUGCUUUUUUAGUUUUUAGGAAGUGAUCUCCAGCUAUUUGAUUAAAGUCCCAAGUGACUACCUGAAGACUUAUUUUGUUCUUAGUAUACAUAUUUUUGGAUGUUCAGAAGAUAUUCUACAAAAGAUUGCAAAAUGUAAAAAUUUAAUUGGAUUUCCUUCUUUUGUAUUGCAUUACUAAACUUUGAUGGCAUAUUAUGGUUUUCACGAAGCUUUA
Molecule: long non-coding RNA, 951 nt
Organism: Cannabis sativa
Lineage: Eukaryota; Viridiplantae; Streptophyta; Magnoliopsida; Rosales; Cannabaceae
Exons: 4
Source: RefSeq, a predicted model, not a curated record